Molecule: long non-coding RNA, 271 nt
Organism: Ananas comosus (pineapple)
Lineage: Eukaryota; Viridiplantae; Streptophyta; Magnoliopsida; Poales; Bromeliaceae
Exons: 3
Source: RefSeq, a predicted model, not a curated record
CUCUGUGAGCUGCUUUUGCGGCCUGUUGGUUCAUUCUGGCUUCUGCUUCUGCAUGUUUCUCUUCGACCCGCCGCUUCAUUAUUUCGAGGGAGCAGAAGCAUAAUCUUCAUCUAGCAGCCACUUGAGAUUCACUUCAGCAUCAAAAUAAACAUUUUUCUGCAUUAGCCGAAGCUCCUCUUUCUGGUGUAGAUGGAGUUGAGGAUUUAGGGCUACGAACGGGCGUCAUUGAUCCGAGAGGAGUCGUGGUUCUUGAUGGCUCGUGGCUUGCAAU